Molecule: ribosomal RNA, 390 nt
Filed under: uncultured bacterium
Lineage: Bacteria
Description: bacterial SSU rRNA
Rfam family: Bacterial small subunit ribosomal RNA
Source: RNAcentral
GACGAACGCUGGCGGCGUGCUUAACACAUGCAAGUCGAGCGGUAAGGCCCUUUCGGGGGUACGACGAGCGGCGAACGGGUGAGUAACACGUGGGUGACCUGCCCUCAGCUCUGGGAUAAGCCCGGGAAACUGGGUCUAAUACCGGAUAUGACUUCAUGACGCAUGUUGUGGAGUGGAAAGCCUUGUGCGGCUGAGGAUGGGCCCGCGGCCUAUCAGCUUGUUGGUGGGGUGAUGGCCUACCAAGGCGACGACGGGUAGCCGGCCUGAGAGGGCGACCGGCCACACUGGGACUGAGAUACGGCCCAGACUCCUACGGGAGGGCAGCAGUGGGGAAUCUUGCGCAAUGGGCGAAAGCCUGACGCAGCGACGCCGCGUGAGGGAUGACGGCCU